GACGAACGCUGGCGGCGUGCCUAAUACAUGCAAGUUGAGCGAUGGAGCUUGGUGCUUGCACCAAUUUGAAGAGCAGCGGACGGGUGAGUAACGCGUGGGGAAUCUGCCUUUGAGCGGGGGACAACAUCUGGAAACGAAUGCUAAUACCGCAUAACAACUUUAAACAUAAGUUUUAAGUUUGAAAGAUGCAAUUGCAUCACUCAAUGAUGAUCCCGGGUUGUAUUAGCUAGGUGGUGAGGUAAAGGCCUAACAAGGCGAUGAUACAUAGCCGAACUGGGAGGGUGAUUGGCCAAAAUUGGAACGGGAACACGCCCAAAACUCUACGGGGGGGCGCAGGAGGGAAUCCUUGGCAAAUGACGAAAGGCUGACCGAGGAACGCCGCGUGAGUGAAGAAGGUUUUCGGAUCGGAAAACUCGGGUGGUAGAGAAGAAAGUUGGUGAGAGUGGAAAGCUCAUCAAGUGACGGUAACUACACAGAAAGGGACGGCUAACUACGUG
RNAcentral lists this ribosomal RNA (497 nucleotides) under uncultured bacterium. RNAcentral describes it as "partial 16S ribosomal RNA". It matches the Rfam family "Bacterial small subunit ribosomal RNA", at positions 28 to 507 of the family's 1533-position model. The record is from RNAcentral.